This 406-nucleotide unclassified non-coding RNA is filed under the name fungal sp. RNAcentral describes it as "partial internal transcribed spacer region". The stretch from base 1 to 46 matches the Rfam family "Eukaryotic small subunit ribosomal RNA", at positions 1786 to 1831 of the family's 1831-position model. Lineage: Eukaryota; Fungi. The record is from RNAcentral.
AAGUCGUAACAAGGUUUCCGUAGGUGAACCUGCGGAAGGAUCAUUAACACGUAUCCACGUAUCAACCAACUGUGAACUUGUUCUCAACCCUCCCUGCCGGCGAGAUGAAUUGGAAUCGAGUGUGAGUAUGAAUGGAACGAUCACGCGUAAGCGAGAGAGUUCAUCACACGAGACCAUCUGGAAGCAAUUCCUAACAAUUGUACUCGCUGCGUCAGGCCAACCCUUUCUGCUUCAUCAGAUCGUCGCUCAUCGAUCUGCGAGUGGAAUACAACACACACCUUUCACCCCCUUUUUGCUAGUUGACUUUUAUAUGUUGUCUGAUUCAUACUUAAUUGUAUGGGCCAUUCACACGUUUAUUAUUUGAACGUUAAAAUUACAACUCUUAGCAAUGGAUAUCUUGGUUCUC